GUGUCAGCCGCCGCGGUAAUACGGAGGGUGCAAGCGUUGUUCGGAAUUAUUGGGCGUAAAGAGCGUGUAGGCGGCCAGGUAAGUCAGAUGUGAAAACCCUUGGCUUAACCAAGGAAGUGCAUUUGAAACUGUCUGGCUUGAGUACGGGAGGGGAAAGCGGAAUUCCCGGUGUAGAGGUGAAAUUCGUAGAUAUCGGGAGGAACACCGGUGGCGAAGGCGGCUUUCUGGACCGAUACUGACGCUGAGACGCGAAAGCGUGGGGAGCAAACAGGAUUAGAAACCCUCGUAGUCC
This 292-nucleotide ribosomal RNA is filed under the name uncultured bacterium. Its description in RNAcentral is "partial 16S ribosomal RNA". It matches the Rfam family "Bacterial small subunit ribosomal RNA", at positions 505 to 796 of the family's 1533-position model. The record is from RNAcentral.